GCCGAGGUCGCUCGAACCCACGUACGAGGCCUGAAUCAGCUUCCCAAGCUGAAUACGCGGGUUCGAUUCCCGUCAUCGGCUCCA
RNAcentral lists this transfer RNA (84 nucleotides) under Rhodococcus sp. ZPP. RNAcentral describes it as "tRNA-Ser". It matches the Rfam family "tRNA". From Rfam's summary of the family: Transfer RNA (tRNA) molecules are approximately 80 nucleotides in length. Their secondary structure includes four short double-helical elements and three loops (D, anti-codon, and T loops). The record is from RNAcentral. Lineage: Bacteria; Bacillati; Actinomycetota; Actinomycetes; Mycobacteriales; Nocardiaceae.